Molecule: unclassified non-coding RNA, 253 nt
Filed under: uncultured Myxococcales bacterium
Lineage: Bacteria; Pseudomonadati; Myxococcota; Myxococcia; Myxococcales
Description: contains 16S-23S intergenic spacer region
Rfam family: Bacterial small subunit ribosomal RNA
Source: RNAcentral
GACAGAGGGUGCAAGCGUUGUUCGGAAUCAUUGGGCGUAAAGGGCGCGUAGGCGGCUUCGUAAGUCGAAUGUGAAAUCCCAGGGCUCAACCCUGGAAGUGCAUUCGAAACUGCGUAGCUUGAGUUUCGGAGAGGGUGGUGGAAUUCCCAGUGUAGAGGUGAAAUUCGUAGAUAUUGGGAGGAACACCGGUGGCGAAGGCGACCGCCUGGACGAAAACUGACGCUGAGGCGCGAGAGCAUGGGUAGCAAACAGG